RNAcentral lists this ribosomal RNA (201 nucleotides) under uncultured bacterium. RNAcentral's name for it is "partial 16S ribosomal RNA". It matches the Rfam family "Bacterial small subunit ribosomal RNA", at positions 328 to 539 of the family's 1533-position model. The record is from RNAcentral.
ACGCUCGACACCUACGGGGAGGCAGCAGUGGGGAAUAUUGGGCAAUGGGCGCAAGCCUGACCCAGCAACGCCGCGUGAAGGAAGAAGGCUUUCGGGUUGUAAACUUCUUUUGUCAGGGAACAGUAGAUGAGGGUACCUGACGAAUAAGCUCCGGCUAACUACGUGCCAACAGCCGCGGUAAUCUGAGCGGGCUGGCAAGGC